CCAGUGCACCCCAUCUGCUGCUUCCUGGGAGUGGUGGCUACUUCCUCAAAAGGAGGGUGGAUCUGCUCUCCUGUGCACUCCCCCUACCCCCGAGGGACUUGUGGAGCCCUGGCCACAUCCUCCCAGGGGGCUGCGGAGGAGGUCGGGUCACUCUUGAUCCCAGUUCCCAGUGAAAACUGGAGGUUGCCAUCACCUAACCACACAUGCAAUAAAGUCUUCUGCCUGCUGCUUACAGCCCCCGAGAACCUUCUCCGAGAGAAUAAAACCUUUGACUGCUGCU
RNAcentral lists this long non-coding RNA (280 nucleotides) under Homo sapiens (human). RNAcentral describes it as "non-protein coding lnc-TMIGD1-3:4". Lineage: Eukaryota; Metazoa; Chordata; Mammalia; Primates; Hominidae. The record is from RNAcentral.